Molecule: transfer RNA, 71 nt
Filed under: Camelus bactrianus (Bactrian camel)
Lineage: Eukaryota; Metazoa; Chordata; Mammalia; Artiodactyla; Camelidae
Also listed under: 2 other names
Rfam family: tRNA
About the family: Transfer RNA (tRNA) molecules are approximately 80 nucleotides in length.
Source: Rfam by way of RNAcentral
AAGGGUAUAGCUCAGUGGUAGAGCACAGGCUUAGUGUGCAUGAGGUUGUGGGUUCAAUCCCCAUUCCCUUA